RNAcentral lists this ribosomal RNA (206 nucleotides) under uncultured bacterium. RNAcentral's name for it is "partial 16S ribosomal RNA". It matches the Rfam family "Bacterial small subunit ribosomal RNA", at positions 568 to 774 of the family's 1533-position model. The record is from RNAcentral.
UGCGUAGGUGGUGAGGUAAGUCGGAUGUGAAAUCUCCGGGCUCAACCCGGAAAUGGCAUUGGAAACUACCUUGCUGGAGGAUUUGAGGGGGGAUUGGAAUACUUGGUGUAGCAGUGAAAUGCGUAGAUAUCAAGUGGAACACCAGUGGCGAAGGCGAAUCCCUGGAAAAUACCUGACACUGAGGCACGAAAGUAGGAGGGCGAACA